CUUCAAGAGGAGCUGCACAAGCAGCAGGCCAACAACCACCAGUUGGAAGCAGAACACAAACUGCUAAAGAUCAAGACAGAGGCUCUGGCUGAGACUAUCAGGGAGAACGAGGGUUUAUCGCUGAAGCUCACCGAGAUCCACAAAACAACUUUCUGUUAAAAGUGCUGAACUCACAGUCAACAACCAGACCUGGCAGCAGUUGGAAGCAGAACAUAAACUGCUGAAGACCCAGAGGGAUUGUCUGGCUGCUUUUAAAAAUAGCCAAGAGGAUACCCACCACGAGAUGGUCACAAGCAGUGGUUUCACUGAGUUCUGCCUGAUCCCUAAGCUCCGACAGGAAAAUCAGAUCCUUAUCAACAGGAUCCAGGAGGACGACAAAACAGUCCUUGAGAACAUCUGCCUCGACUUAAAAAAAAAGAAAAGAGGCAUUUUUGGGAGACGGAUGCAAGACCGGCAGACGGAGAUGGACAAAAUGAGGCGCAAGAUGCAGGACAAGGAGACAAAGAAAUAGGAGACAGAAGAGAAGAAAAAGGAGACCAUCCAGGACGUCACCAUCAACGUGCCUGAGACUGGACACCUAUGGAGCCAGGAGAGAGCCAUGUGACGCUUUCGAGCAGAAAGGAAUUCACGAGGGAGGAGCUGGGCCUAAAUGUGCAGCCAAUCACAUAUGACAACACCACAAGGGAAACCCCGGGAGAUUGGAAGAGCUGAGCUGGAGAAGAGGCAGGCAGGAGCCUCCCGUGAACCGAUAUUGAUGGUCAUUUGAGACUGGACUUUCACAACAUAUUAUACUUUACAUACUUCAUUUCACUUUGCAGCUGUAUUGACUAUUACUUCUGUUAGUUAUUAAAUUCUUUAUAAUUUUUAAACUGAAGUCAGUUGACUCUUAAUGACUUCUUGUCUCAGUAAGGGCGAGGUUAACAGUAGCAUUCCUUGAUCAGAGGUUCAGAACUCCACACAGGCCACGGUCAUAGAACGUCCCGCACAAGACUGCCGCAACGACCACACAUUUUAAAAAAUGACUAAUAAUAUCAAAUAGCUGUGUGUUGAAGGGAGCACAUGUCAAGUCUGGAAAUAGUGAAUAUAUCUAAAAAUAG
Gasterosteus aculeatus aculeatus (three-spined stickleback) is the source of this 1097-nucleotide long non-coding RNA. The record is from Ensembl. NCBI's taxonomy places the organism in Eukaryota, Metazoa, Chordata, Actinopteri, Perciformes, Gasterosteidae.